Homo sapiens (human) is the source of this 196-nucleotide long non-coding RNA. Lineage: Eukaryota; Metazoa; Chordata; Mammalia; Primates; Hominidae. The record is from Ensembl.
GCCGUCCUGUAGCCGGGCCGGCUUGGGGCUUGGUUCUAUGUCCCUGCGGAAUGCACAAGAUUUGCAAAGACUAGGUGAUAGUAGAAGGUUUGGACGAACUUUCAGAAGGUUGAGGUGAAUUCAGCUAAGAAGAACAGCUAUGUUUCCAGUGUCCUCUGGGUGUUUCCAAGAGCAACAAGAAAUGAAUAAAUCUCUG